RNAcentral lists this long non-coding RNA (1018 nucleotides) under Mus musculus (house mouse). Its description in RNAcentral is "long non-coding RNA chr3:101925946-101926964". The record is from RNAcentral. Lineage: Eukaryota; Metazoa; Chordata; Mammalia; Rodentia; Muridae.
GUCACUCAGCUUUGUUUCUUAUUAAAGAACUUUUACUAUUUUUUUUUCUAAAAAUGUUUCCAUUUUUAUUUACGACUGUUUUGGGAAUAAACUUGCUCAUUUUGCCCUCCUAGACCAUGAUCUGGCUGUAUUUGCACCCCACUUUUCGUUAUUUUUAUUAUGACAUACUUUGUUUAGUGUUACAUAGUUAUUUAUUAAAUAAUUCAUUAUUUGUUUUGCAUUUUUCCCACUUUUUUUCUACACAGAAAAUAUUUGAAUAUAAAAUUGUAGUUCGCAGACUUUGGAAUUUUUUUUAUAUAUAUUUUGUUUAGCUUUGUUACUUUGUGAUUCUUUUACUAGCUAGAUAGUGUCAGUGUUUAUAGCUUGUUGGCUUUCAACACUUUCUCUCCCUAGCCAUCUUUGAUUUAUUUAAGAUAAGCACUGCUGUAUCCCAAGUUGGCUUCAAAUUUGUUAUAUAGCCAAGGCUAUCCUUAAACUCCUGAUCUUCCUGCUUUUGUCUUCUAGAAGGCUGAGAGAGCAGGCUAGCCAGCCUACUGCACCUUGUUACAAUCUCCUUUGUAAAGAGUGAUUAUGUGAAAGGGUAUACAAUCCUCUAAGUACUAUUUACCCUGAUUUACCAGUUCUCCUAAGCAGUAUUUUGUAAUGGUAUUGUAAUUUGCUCUUUAACCAGUGUUAUGUUUUUGAGCAUUCUUUUUACCUUUCUAGUUAAAAGUUGUACCUUUUAACAUUUUUUAAUUAUUAUUUAUUUGAACAUUUUGUGGGCAAAGACAAUAUUAAAUCCUAGAACUGCCUGACUUUUCCUGGGACCUAGCAUCAUUGUAUUACAGUGCAUUCAUUGUAAACAAAACAAAACAAAACCCUGCACCAUAUGUGUUGAGAACAACACAUGGUUUUCAUUUGCUGGGCUCAGAACAUUCUGUAAGUUAGUACAUCAUACUUGUAAUCUUACUGAAAUCAUUGGCAUGCAUACUAAAGGCUUAUAUCAUUCUUUAAUAAAUAUAUCAACAUCUUCCAAAUU